UACGAAGGGGGCUAGCGUUGUUCGGAAUUACUGGGCGUAAAGCGCACGUAGGCGGAUUGUUAAGUUAGGGGUGAAAUCCCAGGGCUCAACCCUGGAACUGCCUUUAAUACUGGCAAUCUCGAGUCCGAGAGAGGUGAGUGGAAUUCCGAGUGUAGAGGUGAAAUUCGUAGAUAUUCGCAAGAACACCAGUGGCGAAGGCGGCUCACUGGCCCGGUACUGACGCUGAGGAGCGAAAGCGUGGGGAGCGAACAGG
Molecule: ribosomal RNA, 253 nt
Filed under: uncultured bacterium
Lineage: Bacteria
Description: partial 16S ribosomal RNA
Rfam family: Bacterial small subunit ribosomal RNA
Source: RNAcentral